Molecule: ribosomal RNA, 410 nt
Filed under: uncultured microorganism
Description: bacterial SSU rRNA
Rfam family: Bacterial small subunit ribosomal RNA
Source: RNAcentral
CAGCAGCCGCGGUAAUACGUAGGGGGCGAGCGUUGUCCGGAAUUAUUGGGCGUAAAGCGCGCGCAGGCGGUCCCUUAAGUCUGAUGUGAAAGCCCACGGCUCAACCGUGGAGGGUCAUUGGAAACUGGGGGACUUGAGUGCAGAAGAGGAGAGCGGAAUUCCACGUGUAGCGGUGAAAUGCGUAGAGAUGUGGAGGAACACCAGUGGCGAAGGCGGCUCUCUGGUCUGUAACUGACGCUGAGGCGCGAAAGCGUGGGGAGCAAACAGGAUUAGAUACCCUGGUAGUCCACGCCGUAAACGAUGAGUGCUAAGUGUUAGAGGGGUUAAACCCUUUAGUGCUGUAGCUAACGCGUUAAGCACUCCGCCUGGGGAGUACGGCCGCAAGGCUGAAACUUAAAGGAAUUGGAGGG